GUCGUCGUCGUUUCCCUAAGAUGGCUCUGUUGCCGCCCGUCGUUCCAGCGUGGAUUUUCACUUGUGUCGUCAUAACAGGGAGGCCGCUUUUAUGUGGUGUAUGAGCCAUCGCUUAAGGAGGUCUUGCUAUCAGCGAAGAAACACUCGGAUCAUAUUUGAGAUGGUUACCGACACACCCAAGAUUUCCCCUAAGAUCCAAACCCAAGACACAAGAGUGGGCAGUCCAGCAGGACCGAGAGGCGGCGACAAGGCAAGGCCUCAAAGUCCCCUCAUCAGAGACCUGAGCCCGGGUCAUUAAAGUUUGCCGGAUUUAAAAUAAAGUUGCUUCC
Long non-coding RNA from Dermacentor albipictus, 329 nucleotides. RefSeq lists it as uncharacterized. The record is from RefSeq and is a predicted model, not a curated record. NCBI's taxonomy places the organism in Eukaryota, Metazoa, Arthropoda, Arachnida, Ixodida, Ixodidae.